CUCGUAGGCGGUUUGGUAAGUCGGGUGUGAAAACUCUGGGCUCAACCCAGAGAGGCCACCCGAUACUGCUAUGACUAGAGUACGGUAGGGGAGCGGGGAAUUCAUGGUGUAGCGGUGAAAUGCGCAGAUAUCAAGAGGAACACCAGCGGCGAAGGCGCCGCUCUGGGCCGUAACUGACGCUGAGGAGCGAAAGCGUGGGUAGCAAACA
This 208-nucleotide ribosomal RNA is filed under the name uncultured bacterium. RNAcentral describes it as "partial 16S ribosomal RNA". It matches the Rfam family "Bacterial small subunit ribosomal RNA", at positions 568 to 774 of the family's 1533-position model. The record is from RNAcentral.